GACGAACCGUGCGAACGUUGUUCGGAAUCACUGGGCUUAAAGGGCGCGUAGGCGGGCCGCCAAGUCCGCGGUGAAAUCCCCCAGCUCAACCGGGGAACUGCCGCGGAUACUGGAGGUCUCGAGGGGGGUAGGGGCAUGCGGAACUGCGGGUGGAGCGGUGAAAUGCGUUGAUAUCCGCAGGAACUCCGGUGGCGAAGGCGGCGUGCUGGACCCCUUCUGACGCUGAGGCGCGAAAGCCAGGGGAGCGAACGGG
RNAcentral lists this ribosomal RNA (253 nucleotides) under uncultured bacterium. RNAcentral describes it as "partial 16S ribosomal RNA". It matches the Rfam family "Bacterial small subunit ribosomal RNA", at positions 524 to 776 of the family's 1533-position model. The record is from RNAcentral.